UCCCAAGGGUAUGGCUGUUCGCCAUUUAAAGUGGUACGCGAGCUGGGUUUAGAACGUCGUGAGACAGUUCGGUCCCUAUCUGCCGUGGGCGCUGGAGAACUGAGGGGGGCUGCUCCUAGUACGAGAGGACCGGAGUGGACGCAUCACUGGUGUUCGGGUUGUCAUGCCAAUGGCACUGCCCGGUAGCUAAAUGCGGAAGAGAUAAGUGCUGAAAGCAUCUAAGCACGAAACUUGCCCCGAGAUGAGUUCUCCCUGAGACUUAGAGUCUCCUGAAGGAACGUUAAAGACGAUGACGUUGAUAGGCCGGGUGUGUAAGCGCAGCGAUGCGUUGAGCUAACCGGUACUAAUGAACCGUGAGGCUUAACCUUACAACGCCGAAG
RNAcentral lists this ribosomal RNA (380 nucleotides) under Klebsiella indica. Its description in RNAcentral is "Klebsiella sp. TOUT106 partial 23S ribosomal RNA". It matches the Rfam family "Bacterial large subunit ribosomal RNA", at positions 2563 to 2925 of the family's 2925-position model. The record is from RNAcentral. Lineage: Bacteria; Pseudomonadati; Pseudomonadota; Gammaproteobacteria; Enterobacterales; Enterobacteriaceae.